RNAcentral lists this ribosomal RNA (324 nucleotides) under uncultured euryarchaeote. RNAcentral's name for it is "bacterial SSU rRNA". It matches the Rfam family "Archaeal small subunit ribosomal RNA", at positions 338 to 662 of the family's 1478-position model. The record is from RNAcentral. Lineage: Archaea; Methanobacteriati; Methanobacteriota.
CGAAGAAAAACUUUGCAAUGUGCGAAAGCACGACAAGGUUAAUCCGAGUGGUUUCUGCUAAAGGAACCUUUUGCCAGUCCUAGAAACACUGGUGAAUAAGGGGUGGGCAAGUUCUGGUGUCAGCCGCCGCGGUAAAACCAGCACCUCAAGUGGUCAGGAUGAUUAUUGGGCCUAAAGCAUCCGUAGCCGGCUCUGUAAGUUUUCGGUUAAAUCUGUAUGCUCAACAUACAGGCUGCCGGGAAUACUGCAGAGCUAGGGAGUGGGAGAGGUAGACGGUACUCGGUAGGGAAGGGGUAAAAUCCUUUGAUCUAUUGAUGACCACCU